AGAUGGCUCUGUAAUGGAACACAAUGCCUGCAGACACAAGGGAGGGCAGGGGGAUGGAUCAGGCAUGGCACCACCUUGCAGGCCCUCCAUGAACAGCAGUGACAGUCACAGGGACCACCCACUACAGCUGGAUCCCCUCUCCACAUCCAGGUGAGAUCCUUCCACUUUCACUGCAACGCUCCCACAAUGCUCUCCACCUUGUCUGUCUGUCUGUCUCUCUCCCUAACGUACCACAGGGAAAUGAAGCAAGGGCUCCAGCUGUGUGUCAUAUUGCUGAGUGCCUUCCCUGGCCCAGCUUUUUAAGGGAAGAGAGAAGGAGAUACACCAUAUCACUGUUGCACCAUCCCAAGUUCUUGGUGUUCCAUAUGAUACUGGGCUUGAAUCUUCAUGCAGGAUUCCUUGUUUUCUUGGGGCAAAGAGUCCCAAGCAGUUUUCAUCAGAAGGAGUUCUGUUCAGGGCACACCCCAGAAUGGACUGUCCCAUGGGGAGGACAAAGUUUCCCACCAGGAAAACUCUGGUGCUGAUCUGACUCCUCAAGUUUACAGAGGGAACCUCUGUCGCCAUUCAUCUUUGGCCACUGAAAGAAAGAGGACUGAAGAGUCUUUGGUUUCUGGAACCGAGGGUGAGGGAGGUGGAAAAGGGAAGACACCUGGGUUGGCUUUGGGGUCUGAAAUAACUCAGCGUACACCUUGUCAGGCAUAAGGCUCUGAAUCUUUCAAAACUUUUAAAAAAAUUUUUAUUUAUUUAUUUA
This is a long non-coding RNA of Erinaceus europaeus (western European hedgehog), 751 nucleotides long. RefSeq lists it as uncharacterized. Lineage: Eukaryota; Metazoa; Chordata; Mammalia; Eulipotyphla; Erinaceidae. The transcript has 2 exons. The record is from RefSeq and is a predicted model, not a curated record.